Eucalyptus grandis is the source of this 1460-nucleotide long non-coding RNA. RefSeq lists it as uncharacterized. Lineage: Eukaryota; Viridiplantae; Streptophyta; Magnoliopsida; Myrtales; Myrtaceae. The record is from RefSeq and is a predicted model, not a curated record. The transcript has 2 exons.
UGGAUCUCUUGCCUCUGUGAAGUAUCCGGAGGACCGUUGCCUUGCACCGUUUCAGAGGCGAAAACUCUGAAGCUAUCAAGUCCCUCUCGAUCUCCAAGUAUCCAUCUCAAGUUCGUUGAUCGACACUCACCUGAACCUCCAUGGACGAGUUUAAUCAGCACUCGUGGUUGAAGAUCCCUCCUCGACAAGGUAUAUGCAUGACGAUUACCAGAUAAUGGCCGUGCUCCAGGCGACUGAAGCCAGAAAAUGGCGACGUUACAUUCAAUGCUUGAAUACGUCGAUCAUUGAUGAGGUUGAGUUGGUUUCUUUAGCAGAGCAGAGCUCCCAGGAUGUGCGCAAGGAAGAUGAUAGGAAGAAGACGACAGGGCAAAACAGAAGAAUAAGAAGGAGAGAAGAGAAUAAAUAGGAAAAUGGGCCUCUCAAUGGACAAUGAAUUCAUUGUGGGCUUAGCAUGAGAGAGUUGGGUUAUUGCCGUUAUGUUCAAUUCGGUUUUACUGGUGAUUGGGCUAUGGAUCUCGUUUUUCUUCACGAAUUUGGGUUUGAUUAGUUUCAGGUGGGAAUUGGGCUCAAUUAUAUGAUAUGAGCCCAGUUUGAAUUUUUGAUCGAGCCCUCUUAAGGCGAUAAGCCCAAUGAAUCAUGCCCAUAGAUCUGAUAUGUGUCAGCCCGUGUCCGUGCCGGGUCUGAAGGCCCAGCCUAGACCCCUUUUUUCGAAAUAUAUAAUAAGAAUAAUAAAUGAAUAAAAUUUAAUGAUAUAAAAAUAUAAAAAUAGAAAAAAAGUGAAAUAUGGUUAGAAACAUAGAGCUUGAUUAGGUCGGUAAGCCUCAGUGUUCUUGAAAAAUAGGGACAACAUGUAAAAACUCUAAUAAACUUGCUGGAGGAGGAGGAUACUGUGGAAAGAAGUGAGAAUUUUGGAGGAAAAUUGAAGCAAAUUGACUAAACAAUUGAAGUUCCUCUCGAAUUUCCUACAAAUCCUUGUCUCAUCUCAUUGCAGACCAUGUAAAACUCCCCUCAAAGCCAAGUAAGCUCGGUAGAGAGCCCCCACCAACGGAUCACCUUCAUUUUCAAUCCAUGCUGGAAUAUCCUACUUCCAUGUUCAACAAAGUGGGAAAGAUGAAGAGAAUCUAAUGGUCACCGUUCCAAAGAUGAUUGAGGAAUCAGACCUUGCAAUCAUCAUUUUUUCUGAGGACAACAUCUAUUCGGAGUUGUGUUUGGAAGAAGUGGUGAAGAUCAUGGAGUGCAAGAAGCAAAGAGACCUCAAGUUCUUUCUGUUGUUUUACAAAGUGAAAUUAGAUACGGUAAGUGAAUUGAAAGGGAGUUACCGAACUAGUCUUGAAUAUUUUUAAAAGAGGCUUUGUAAGGAUGUGAAGAGAUUGAUGAGAUGGAAGAACACUCUCCACAAGGCGGGUAGCUUGUCCAGGCGGUACUUGGAUGAUGAUGAGUAAGUAGUAAUUUUGCCUCUC